ACGUAGGAGGCAAGCGUUAUCCGGAUUCACUGGGCGUAAAGCGCGUGCAGGCGGUUCGGUAAGUUGGGCGUGAAAUCUCCUGGCUUAACUAGGAGAGGUCGUUCAAUACUACCGGACUUGAGAGUGAUAGAGGAAGAUGGAAUUCCCGGUGUAGUGGUGAAAUGCGUAGAUAUCGGGAGGAACACCAGUGGCGAAAGCGAUCUUCUGGAUCAUUUCUGACGCUCAGACGCGAAAGCUAGGGUAGUAAACGGGAUUAGAGACCCCGGUAAUCCUAGCCGUAAACGAUGUAAACUUGGCGUUGGUGGCUUUAACUCCAUCAGUGCCGCAGCUAACGCGAUAAGUUUACCGCCUGGGGACUACGAUCGCAAGAUUA
RNAcentral lists this ribosomal RNA (373 nucleotides) under uncultured bacterium. RNAcentral describes it as "bacterial SSU rRNA". It matches the Rfam family "Bacterial small subunit ribosomal RNA", at positions 525 to 896 of the family's 1533-position model. The record is from RNAcentral.